Molecule: ribosomal RNA, 303 nt
Filed under: uncultured bacterium
Lineage: Bacteria
Description: partial 16S ribosomal RNA
Rfam family: Bacterial small subunit ribosomal RNA
Source: RNAcentral
AGCAGUCGCCGCGGUAAUACGAAGGGGGCUAGCGUUGUUCGGAUUUACUGGGCGUAAAGCGCACGUAGGCGGACUUUUAAGUCAGGGGUGAAAUCCCGGGGCUCAACCCCGGAACUGCCUUUGAUACUGGAAGUCUUGAGUAUGGUAGAGGUGAGUGGAAUUCCGAGUGUAGAGGUGAAAUUCGUAGAUAUUCGGAGGAACACCAGUGGCGAAGGCGGCUCACUGGACCAUUACUGACGCUGAGGUGCGAAAGCGUGGGGAGCAAACAGGAUUAGAUACCCCCGUAGUCCCUGUCUCUUAUAC